GUAAAAUGUAACUGAUGAUCUUACUAAUAAAAUUAAGUGAAUCUAACUUAUUUUGAAUAAGUUUAUUGACCUUACUAAGUUUAAUAAAGUAAGGUCAACUUUUUAGCACGGAAAGUUAAUAAACUCAAAAUAUUCAAUUACCCUCUACUUAAAAUAGUAAGUAUUUUGAAAAUGUUCGAGUUGUCAUGCGCGGUGCUACCAGUAGGUGGAGCCGAUUUGAAACGGAAACGGAAUAACAUUAUUUCUGGUGAAGAGCACAUGGAAAGUGCUUGUUUUGUGAGAUGACUUGAGACAUGCAAUGGAAAUGAUUUCAAGAGAGCUUCAUCGUGGAACACCCUUGCCGCUUUUGCAUGGUGAAAAAGAGUGAAAUUCAACAGAAAGACGUACUGUCAGGAAGAUUUGAACCCAGGACAAAGGUUCACAGAACGCAAUGGAGACAAGAACUAUACUUAGAGUGAUAGUGAAUGAAAAUGACAUACGGAAAAUCACACUGCAUAGUAAACCACAAACUUUGGAGACAUUGAUGGAGCAUCUUGAAGAGAAGUUGGGUCUUCCAUACAAGUUUUCUCUUCAGUACGAAGAUGCUGAUUUUAACAAUGCACUAAUUAACCUCACAGACAUUGCAGAUUUACCUGAGAGGCCCACCUUAAAGGUGAUCUCCCUUGUUCCAUCUCCUACAGCAAGUACAGCUGACACAGACAUUGUAUCUUUGUCUUCUGAAGAAGGGUCAUCUCAUGUACGCCAGGCUCAGUGGCCAGAGACAUUUGAAGUCCCCAAUUUUCCUGUAGAU
Cyprinus carpio (common carp) is the source of this 790-nucleotide long non-coding RNA. RefSeq lists it as uncharacterized. The transcript is spliced from 4 exons. NCBI's taxonomy places the organism in Eukaryota, Metazoa, Chordata, Actinopteri, Cypriniformes, Cyprinidae. The record is from RefSeq and is a predicted model, not a curated record.